Molecule: ribosomal RNA, 253 nt
Filed under: uncultured bacterium
Lineage: Bacteria
Description: partial 16S ribosomal RNA
Rfam family: Bacterial small subunit ribosomal RNA
Source: RNAcentral
AACGUAGGUUCCGAGCGUUAUCCGGAUUUACUGGGCGUAAAGCGCGUUCAGGCGGUUUGGCAAGUCGGGCAUGAAAUCCUUCGGCUCAACCGGGGGAGGUUGUCCGAUACUGCUAAACUGGAGGGCAGUAGAGGGUGGUGGAAUUCCCGGUGUAGUGGUGGAAUGCGUAGAUAUCGGGAGGAACACCAGUGGCGAAGGCGGCUCUCUGGACCGGUUCUGACGCUCAGGCGCGAAAGCGUGGGGAGCGAUCCGG